This 246-nucleotide ribosomal RNA is filed under the name uncultured bacterium. RNAcentral describes it as "partial 16S ribosomal RNA". It matches the Rfam family "Bacterial small subunit ribosomal RNA", at positions 527 to 772 of the family's 1533-position model. The record is from RNAcentral.
AGAGGGGGCAAGCGUUGUUCGGAAUUACUGGGCGUAAAGGGCGCGUAGGCGGCCUGUUAAGUCGGACGUGAAAUCCCUCGGCUCAACCGGGGAACUGCGUCUGAUACUGGCGGGCUUGAAUUCGGGAGAGGGAUGUGGAAUUCCAGGUGUAGCGGUGAAAUGCGUAGAUAUCUGGAGGAACACCGGUGGCGAAGGCGGCAUCCUGGACCGACAUUGACGCUGAGGCGCGAAAGCCAGGGGAGCAAA